RNAcentral lists this transfer RNA (58 nucleotides) under Salmo salar (Atlantic salmon). It matches the Rfam family "tRNA", at positions 8 to 63 of the family's 71-position model. From Rfam's summary of the family: Transfer RNA (tRNA) molecules are approximately 80 nucleotides in length. Lineage: Eukaryota; Metazoa; Chordata; Actinopteri; Salmoniformes; Salmonidae. The record is from Rfam by way of RNAcentral.
UGGCUGUGUUGGUAGAGCAUGGUGUUUGCAACGCCAGGGUUGUGGGUUCGAUUCCCAC